CUCUAGCAUCCAAAAGCUGCGCAUCAGCUUCAUCCUUUAAGAAAAACAACAGCUCUUUCCUCUUCAACCAAAACACCAAGUGUUAUCCAUGAAAAUACAGCCAUGAACCUCCUUUAGCCACCAGCUAAACACCAUCAAAAUCAGCCCCCUAAAGCUCCCAAAACAGCCCAUAAAUAUCCCCUCUUUCAACCUAAAAAACGCCGCCGAAACAAGCUCUCAAACCCAGCAAAAAUCCAUCCAAAACUAUCCCCAAAUCUUAGCCAAAAACCAGCUGAAAAUCAACUCUAAAACACCCGAAAAUAUCAGCCAAAACACAGCUCAAACAGAUCCAAAAUACAGCUGCAUCGCACCACAAAACCCACGCCACAGUAGCUUCAAAACAGUCCCGAACACUGCUGCGUUUCUGCUUUAGAAAGGUCAAAUUGAUCUCUUUCUUUUCGAAUUCCCGAUGAGUUGCGAGGCUGCCGGAGAGGUGGUUCUGAGGUCGUUCGAGGCGCCGAUGUCGUUGGCAAAUAUUCUGGUCAAGAGUUGUCUAAUUUUCAAGUUGGUUGUAACUUAGGCUCAAAUUCAAUACAAAGGUCUGAUAUUUUAACUCUUCCGCCUAUUUCUUUUUUAUCAACUUCAAUAAUAGCUGCUACUUUGGUUCAGUUUCUCUUUGUUUAAAUGUUUUGAUUUCAAUUUUGCGUUUCUAUGUGGUUAGUUAGCUUUAUGCUUCAUCAUCUUAGUCCUCAAAUCACACAUAAUAAUAUCAAAACCACGAAUCGUCGAUCAAGAUCAAUCACUUAAGUUCAUAAACUUCAAACUUCGAAUCAAGCGUCCGAUUCAAGCCUAACCAAUCAGGAAUGAAUCCAAAUUUGGCAUACAAGUUCGAAAUGACAUAUCGAACCUAUUCUAACUCCCGGAACAAUAAUCCGAACCAGAUAACAUAAAAGUCAACUCUUGGUCAAACUUAUGAACUUUUCAAACCUUUAAAUUGCCAACUUUUGCCAAAUAGUGCCAAAACCUUUUAGAAGCCUCCAAAUUCGGGCAUACACUCAAGUCCAAAAUCACCAUACGGACCUAACGGAACCAUCAAAACUCCGAUUCGAGGUCAAAUACACAAAAGUCAAACUUGGUCAACUCCUUCAACUUAAAGUUUCUAAAAUAAAAAUCAUUCUUCCAAAUCAAUUCUGAAUCACACGAAAUCCAAAAUUGACGACACACGCAAUUUAUAAUACAUCAUAUGAAGCUACUCAUGUCCUCGAACCAUCGAACGGAGUGCAAAUACUCAAAACAACUGAUCGGGUCGUUACAUGGAAUGUAGCUUCCAUGUAGCUUCAGUUGGAAAGUUAUUAUGGCAAUUAAAUGAGAAAAAAGAUCUCUUGUGGGUGAGAUGAGUGCAUGGAGUAUACAUAAAGCAAAAUGAAAAUAUAUGGGAUGAUAAUCCUCCAAUCGAUAACAGUUGGUACUACAGAAAAUUGGAUACCCUUAAGAGUGGAAUGAUGCAAUGGUACCCGAACAGUAGAUAUCAACUUACAACUAAUGGGGAGUACUAACUAAGAGCUAUAAUGUUAUGCUAACAUGUCUAGAAAGAUUAAAGGAGGUUGACUUAAUCUGGAGCAAAGCAAUGCAACCUAAGCACAGGUUCAUUGUUUGGUUAGCCAACCAGAACAAGGUGCUCACAAAAAAGAGGCUCCAAAGGCUCCAUAUUCCAGUGGCAGAUAAUAUAUGUUAUUUGUGUGAUGAAGGAAAGGCAAAAAAUCCACAGCACCUAUUUGUAGAGUGUGCAUGGAUAAGUGAAGUUAGGCAAGGUCUCAGUAAUUGGUCUGGAAUAUAUAUAACUAACAAGGGGUCACACAAUAGUUGCAGUGGAUGAAAAAUAGGAGAUGAAGAAAGAAGUGGUGGCAGCCAUUUAGCGAGCAAUGAUAGACGACACAUGGCAAGCAAGGAAUUGAAGAAUUUUUAGACGCACCAAUGUGAAUACACAGUUUGCAAUUCCACAGAUACAGAAAGAAGUCAAAAUUAGACUAGAGAGUAUACAAACAUCAAAGAAAGCAAAAGAAAUUGUCAAAGUCGGUCCCAGAAAUUAUGUAAUUAGUUAGGUAUUGUUUAUGUUUGUUACUGUUUCUAUUAGUUUGAUUAAAUAGAGGAUGUGUUUUCUUGUUGGUUGAUUGGAGGCCUGGAUGUAGCACCUUGAAAUGGAGGUUGCCAACAUAGGCGCUCAUGACUUGUACAAAAAUUGGUUGUUAAUGGUAAUAUUUCAUAUUUAUUACCACAAACAAAUGUUAAAAAGAACCAUAAGAAAAAUUAGAUAUGAAGAUUUAUAAAGACCCUCAAUCGACCAGUACCAAAAAUUACCAAUCUUGAAGAUAAAAACUAAAUUUCCAACAAUUAUUCUUACUAAAGUUCCAUCCAUCAGUGUAAUAAUUGCGGUUGUCAAGUGGAUUUUUUUCUAUGGGUUCUUUCGGAGGCCAGUACUAGAGAUGAGUUUCCAGUACCAUUUUCCUCCACAAAAACAUAGAAGAAGGCAUAAAUUAUUUUUUAAAUAUAAGUUUUAUUUCAAAAAAAUUAAAAUUCUAUAUCCAAAUUCACACCCUAAAUCAAGUAUUUUGACCUAUGUACACCGAAUUAUGCCAAACAAAGUAGAGCAAAUAUGAGACAAAGUCAAUUAUAAACAUGAUCAUGCUUGUUAUUUAUUUCAAUUUAUUUGUAUUUUAUUGAGCGUAAAAUAAUUUAUGUUUUUUAUUUUUAAUAUUUUGUUUUAAAUUGCUUUGUAUUUUAGUAUUUAAAUUUUGAUUUUAUCUAUUAUCAUGUAAAUUGCUAUUGUAAAUUUUACUAUGUUAACAUUUGGUUUUUCUAGAAACGCAAUCAUAGAAACUGCUACCUACAAAAUAUGACGAAUUAGUUGAGUUCUUUAGGAAUUUUGACACUUAAGUUGUAGAAGCUCUUGUUUUCUCUUUUUCGUUUUUCAACAUCAAAUUUAUCACCUUAUCAAGAUUAAACUAGUCUAUCCUUUCCUUUAUCUUUUUCUAAAGUCUUACAACAUAGCAAUUUUGUCACGAUCCCAAAUCUCCCAUAGUAGGAUGUCGUGAUGACACUUAUUCUCUAAGACUAGGUAAGUCUAACAUACAUAAAGAAAUUGCGAAAGUAACAACAUAACUUCAAAUUAAACCAUCUAUCUAACAUAAUGGAACUCAACAAUACCGCAAACAAUAACUCCCAAAAUCUAAUGAGACUGAGUCAUAAGCUCUACACGAGUAUACUGAAACAUCCCUAAUGUGUCACGGUCUAAAUAAAGAGUAUGCAAUAGAAAAACAAGGACAGAGGGUGACUCCGAGUCCUGCGAACGCCGGCAGACAUACCCUGAACUCUCCGAUCUGAAAGCUCUAGUCACUGGUGCCUAGCAUGAUAUGAGGUGCCUAGAUCUGCACAAAAAGAUGUGCAGAAGUAUAGUAUGAGUACAUCACAACGGUACCCAGUUGGCAUCAAGCCUAACAUCGGUAGAGUAGUGACGAGGUCAGGUCAAGACACCUACUAGGUUAAUAAAAGAAGUUGAAUAGGUAUAGUACCGUAUAAUAAUGGAAACAAGAAAAUGAGAUAAUGAAGAAAUACAACAAGAUAAGCUAUAACUGAAUAUAAGGCAAUAAAGUCAACAAGGGAGGAACACGUAAUAAGAAUACCAAGAAAACGAUAUAGACAAACUCAAGUGAUGUAAAUGAAAGAUAACAUCAAGAAUCACCACCGAGGUACCGCCUUGUAACUCAUUUCACAAUAACAAUCACAAUUUUUCCUUAUAUCACUGCGGGAGCCUUACAUUUAAUUUUAAAAAUUAUUUUUUUUCGAAAUAGCUACCUGCAUUUUAGCCCACAUUAUCACAUCGUGUGGCUUCAAGUAGUUCCCCUACUAGCAACACGCGUAUCAACCCCAAUUUAUCUCACCGCAUGCGUAUCAACCCCUAGCUUUAAUGCACCGCAUGCAUAUCAAUAUCACAACAUAAUCACAACUCGCACCACAAGUGCCCAUAUGCCAUAACUUGCCGAAAGAAUCAACAAUAUCAAUGUUUUCACAAUAAAUAUCCCAUGGCUCAACCACAAUAUGCACAAGAGUCUCAACAAUAGCAAACUGAAAAUGAAUAACUCAACAAGAAUGGUAUUUCAACAAUUAACAACCUUGCCUCAAUGAGAUCAUGACUUUUAAAACUUCAACACCAAUAACUCAACAAGAUGCUAUUACAUGAAAACAACAACGUCAAGUAAACAAUUCAACAAUUAAAGGAGUAGCAGACAAUAAGGAAGACAAUAACCUCAACUAAGCAUAUAAAAGCAAAUAACAGGUAAAGGGUGGAACAAGUGUUAACAAUGUCAAACAAGGCAUGUGAUGGCAGAUUAAAAUGCAUAAAGGGUAGAUUAACAAUGAAAUAUAUAAUAUGAUAUGACAAUUCAAUUAAAGUAACGAGAGGAAUCUAAAUAGCCUAAACCGGUCAAUUACCACUUAUAACCCAUGUCCCUACUCGUCACCUUGCAUACACGGCUUUCAAGUACCACAAUUAAAAUAAUACAACUCCAAUACUAAGGGGUAAUUUCCCCACACAAAGUUAAGCAAGAUACUUACCUCAAAUAAGUUAACUCAAUCCGCUAGUUAGCCUUUUCCGCGAAUAUCUAACUUCGAACAGCUCGAAUCUAGCCAAAAUACUUUAUACCAUAAAUACAAAUCAUAGGAACUAUUCCGGAUAAUAAAGUUACAAUCUUUAAAGAAAAUUAAAAAGUCAACUCAAAAAGUCAACUCCAGGCUCGCGUCUCGGAACUGGACCAAACUUAUAAAAUUCGAACACUCAUUCAACAAUGCGUCCAACCACACCAAAAUUAUUUAAUUCUGACCUCAAAUCAACUUUCAAAUCCUCAAAUUAUAUCUUAGAAAGUUUUCGUAAAUUUUCCCAAUUUUUCCAACUAAAAAUACUAAUUAAAUGCUAAAAACAAUGAUAGAUUCAUGUAUAAUUGUAACGACCAGACUUUUCGUUCUAAUAAUUAGCAUCUCGUUCAGCGACUUAAUGUCACGAGCAGCUUUGUGAUGUGUAUUAUGACUUGCAUGUGUGGUCGAGUUUGGUUUUCGGAUGAUUCGGGAUUAAAUUGAAAGAACAAUUCUUAUUUAAGAAGCUUAAAAGAAAAGAGUUAACCGGAGAGUUGACUUUUGAAAAAAUGACUCCAAAAUAGAAUUUCAAUGGUUCUAAUAGCUACGCAUGGUGAUUUUAGACUUAGAAGUGUGUCCGGAUAUUUAUUUGGAAGUCCGUAGUUGAUUUCGCUUGAAAUGGCAAAAGUUAGAAUUGGAAGGUUUGAAAGUUUGAUCGGGACUUGACUUUGGUGAUAUCGGGGUCGUAAUAUGAUUCUAAAAAUUAGAAUAGGUCUGUUAUGUCAUUUAUGACUUGUGUGCAAAUUUUGAGGUCAAUUGGACUUUAUUUGAUAGGUUUCGGCAUCCAUCGUAGAAGUUGGAAUUUCCUUAGUUUUAAUAGGCUUGAAUUGGUGUGCGAUUUGUAUUUUUGAUAUUGUUUGAUGUGAUUUGAUGGUCCGACUAAGUUCGUAUCGUGUUAUAGGACUUGUUGGUACAUUCGGAUGGGGUCCCGAGUGGCUCGAAUGAGUUCCGGAUUGUAUUUUGAGCGAGACCGGGCAUUUCAGCUCUCUAAUGAUGUUAUGAGACAAUUGAAGUGCGGAGGGCACAUUUUUGAGAGCAGAAGUGCGGCCGCAAACUCCCCAAGUGCUGUAGCAGUAGGAAUUGUGCGGCCCGCAGUUGAAAUUGUGUGGUCUGCAGAAUUCUUCUCGCGGCCGCAGAAAGGUGAUUUCGCAGAUUCGAUAGUCCGAUUUCGGAAGCUUAUAUCUUUUAAUCUACAAAUAAUUCUGAGAUGAUUCAAAAAUGAAAGUUGUAGCCCUUUGAAUCUAGGUUCCAGAAAGAUUUAGCAUUAAUUAUUAGGACAUAUGUAGAGAAAGUUAUGGCUAAUUUACUAAAGCUUGGUAGUGCAGCCACUAUUGAAGUGCGGCCGAACAAUUUGGAUCGCGGCCGCACAAAAAUAUGUGCAGUCAGCACAAUGAGGGGUCAGAUUGUAUACUAUAUAACCGAGGUUUUGGGUAUUAUUUCACAUUUGAACUUUGGAAGCUCGGUUUAUGGCGAUUUUUCGUGGGAUUUUGAAGAAAAUCAUUGGGGUAAGUGAUUCUAAGGAUUUGGUUAAUAUACACAAAUAUAUCAUUAUUUUUAUUAUUUAAUUAGUUUUUUGAGAUGAAAAUUUGGAAAAAAUAAUAGAAAUUUUAUAAAACGAAAAUUUAAGAUAUGGAGAUCGAUUUGUUAUCGGAAUUUGGUAAACUUGGUAUGGUUGAACUCGUAUCGAAAUGGGUAUUCGUAUUUCGUGAAAAGUCUAUUGGGUUUCGAGAGGCGAGCCCCGUGUUGACUUUUUACUGUGAAAUAUUAAGUUGACAUUUUAUUAUCCGGAAUUAUUUCCGAUAAAUUUUAAUGAAGUUAUACAAUCAAUUUUGAUAGAUUUGAGAUGUCAGGAGGUCAAUUCAAGCAAAAAGGCUAUUUUGGAAUAUCGGAAUAACUUCAAAAAGGUAAGUAUCUUGCCUAACCUUGAGUGAUGGAAUUACCCCUUAGGUAUUGUGUCUUAUGUGGAAAUUGUGUAAUUGAAAACCAUGUACGCGAGGUGACGAGAACGUACUUGGUUUAUAUGUGCAAAUUAUAUAGGUUGAAAUUCAUAGACGCCCUUAUGUAUUAAAUUAAAAAAUUAUUGAAAUUUAGUAAAUCCUUGAUUUUUCAUGCCUCAUUCCUUGUUUGUCGAGUUUAUAUUUUAUAUGAUAAUUUAGUGUGAUUGCCACUUGGAUUUUUAUGUGAAAUCCGUGUGUUUGUUGAUAUGAUAUUUCUUGGAAAUAAUCACAUUAUGGAUUUUUCAUCUGAAAAUAAUUAAUUAAAUAAGUUUAAAUUGAGGCAUUUAUAUAUUUAUCUAAAAUUUAGAUUAAAGAAGGCGUUGUCCUAUAAUGAGUUAUUUUCCCAUCCUUUUGGUUAUUUUUGAGAUUUUAUAUACAUUGUGUUGAGCCGUGGACUAUCUGUUGUGAGAUUAAUUGACUUUGUUGUACCUUUGGAAUGGUCGUGGCCUACGGGCAAUUUGUAAAUACGAGUUGAUGAUGUUGUGUUGUUGUGAUAAUAUUCUAUGUGAAUUAUUGUGUGAUUUGGGUUACUAUUAUGCGGCGUAUAAGAGUGGCAUUCCAUUUUUGACAUUAUGCGGACAUAAGGGUGGCAUUUCACUGUUAUUAUGUGUUUUGGGAUAUUGUCUGGCGGAGUGAUAAUGGAGGCUAUUAAACGUAGCGAUAAGGGAGGCUAUUAUAGGAGCGAUAAGGGUGGCUAUUGAUAUUGUCAGGGUGGAGGGAUAAGGAAGGCUAUUAUAUGAGUGAUAAGGGUGGGUAUAGGAGAGAUAAGUGUGGCUAUUGUAAGGGACGAUAUGUGAUAAUGUAGAGUUAUUGUGUUGGUAAUUUUUAUGUGAUGAUGUGGGGUUAUUGCGUUGGUAAUUUUCAUGUUAUGUUGUGAUUUUUUUUGUGUUUAUUUUAUAUCUUGUGCAACUUGUCUUGUUGUUUCGGUAAACUUGAUAAUAGUCUGAUCUAUGUUGAAAUUGGGAGGCUGUGGCUAUUGCGAGGUGGAUUAUGUUAUAUGGGAUCGAGUUGCACGCCGCAACAAGUAUGAUUAAUAUUAUAUGGGAUCGGGUUGCAUGUCGCAACAUAUAUGAAAUGUGGGCACGAGGUAUCGGGGAAAAUAUGAUGAUGAUAUUGGCAUGUGAGUUGUCCGUGCGGUUGUGAUAGAGAUAUUGGCACGAGGUGCCGUAGAAAUAUGAAAGUGGGCUUAGACCCGUAUUUUAUGAUUAUGAGGUGAGGUGUCACAAGGUGACUUUUAUUUGAAAGGAUUAUAUUCAAAUUAUUAUUUGAAAGAAUUAUAUUCGAAAGAAAUUUAUUUGAAAGAAUUAUAUUUGAAGGAUAUUUAAUUGAAAGAAGUAUAUUGAAAAUAUAUUUAUUGGAAAGGAUUAUAUUCUAGAGAUUUCUAUUGAAAAACUUAAAAAUGGAAGAUGUAUAUUUUGAAGGACUUGAUUAUUGGUUGUACUUGUGUUCAUUACAUGUUUGAGCAAUAUUUAUGGAUUUCGUGUUGCUUUGCUGUUUACAUCACUAGUGGAUUAUUGUUGCUAUUACUGCUAUUUAUUUUCUAUUAUUUUUGCAUACUAUAUUGUAUAUGUUAUUAGACUAGUGAGUGUUUUGACUGUACCUCGUCACUACUCCAUCGAGGUUAGUCUUGAUACUUACUAGGUACCGACUAUGGUGUACUCAUACUACACUUCUGUACAUUUUUGUGCAGAGCCAGGUAUUGGAGAUAUCGG
This 8374-nucleotide long non-coding RNA is filed under the name Nicotiana tabacum (common tobacco). Its description in RNAcentral is "long non-coding RNA (NTAB_LNC005140)". The record is from RNAcentral. Lineage: Eukaryota; Viridiplantae; Streptophyta; Magnoliopsida; Solanales; Solanaceae.